Molecule: long non-coding RNA, 2768 nt
Filed under: Musa acuminata (dwarf banana)
Lineage: Eukaryota; Viridiplantae; Streptophyta; Magnoliopsida; Zingiberales; Musaceae
Description: long non-coding RNA (MACU_LNC004882)
Source: RNAcentral
GACGAAUAAAUUAGUUACGCCCGCCAAAUCUUGCUCUCUCCUCAUCGUCCCCUCUCGCCGCGUUUCUACCCUUCCGAAUUCUCUCGCUACGUUUUCUUGACGCCACCGCUUCCUUCCCGAUGGUGGCGUCGUGCUUGAGGCCCUGGAUUGCCACCGGAGGUUGGGACGCCCUUAGAUCCGAAGGGAACACUUGGGAUUCCGGCCGUCUCCGAGCGAUCUUUAACGCUCGGUCGAGGGUUUACCGCGCCGAGGGAUGGCGACGCGUCGCUUGGCUACUGUAGUUCCGAUCGGCAUUCCAGGAAUGGACUCGCCGGCGAGAAUCAGCGGUUCGUCGAGUGGUUACGACAGGCGUGGCGGUACAUACGGAGGGCACAGUGGGAGCACGUUCGUGGUGGUAAUAUCGGGGGAGAUCGUGGAUGAUUCUGAGUUGGACAGCAUUCUUCAGGUACCUGGUGGUUCUUCUUCUUCUUCUUGGCUUAUUCUUUUGGAUUUCCUUUCGUCGGUUUGAUCUAUCGUCUUUUCUGUGCCGUGGAGCCGACUGUUUUCUAUGACGAUCUAAUUUGGCGGUGCAAGAUUAAUUUACUCUUUUCUAUGAUCAAAUUUGGCGGUGAAAGAAUAGUUUCGUUUUCGUGAUCAGAUUUGGCAGUGAAAGAUUAAUUUAUUUUUUUUUCUUGGUCAUGAAAUUUGGUGGUUAAAGAUCAAUUAAUUGUUAAUAAAUAAAUAUGACUUUUCUUGGGAAGGUAAACAUAUGAGGUAAAAAGCGUUUGAAAAGUUGGGUGGUUCAUGAGCGUAGUACCCAUUUCUUCCUUUAAUCAAAACGGAGUGCAAUGGAGUUUGUGACCCGAUCGUGUAGUUAAUUGCAAGAUCCAACGGCGUGAUCGUUUGUGUUCCAGACGCAAUUGGGUUGGGAGCUUGUGGAAGAAGGGUUUUGGAAAAUAAUGAAUCAUGUAAUCCUAGUCUUACGUUGUGUUAAUUAAUUUAAAGCUGUUUGGGCUUUGAACUAUCAGUUUUGACAAAAUGGAAGCCUCUAAAAUCUGGUGACAGGGAAACCCUAUGUGUUUUCUAUCGUGAGCACCUUUGUUGGGUUCGAGUUCCACCGAUCAAUCAACCUAGACAUUCAAACGCAGGUUCUUUCUUUGGAUUCUGUUCAUGUGGCGGCAUGUGACAUAACAUAACAGAGUAGUUUUGUCCCAAAAGAUGUAAUAGAAAUUGUGACAAAAAAGAGAGAGAGAGAGGAUGUUUCUUGGGAAGCAGAAGAGAACAUCAUAACAUAGUAGUUUUGUCCCAAAAGAUGUAAUAGAAAUUUUGUGACAAAAAAGAGAGAGAGGAUGUUUCUUGGGAAGCAGAAGAGAAGGAAUUCUUGACGGUGGUACAUCAUAACAUCAUAAUGCUUCAAAUGCAGGAUAUUUUCCUCCAUCAUGGCCUCGGGAUCAAAUUUGAUAAACUCUUGAUAGAAAGCGGGAGGAACAUUUGUUUUGAUCCAUAAGUUUUUAGCAAAAUUCUUCUUUCUUUGGCUUCCAUGAUAUUAAUAAUUUGUUUGAUGGCUUUUGUUACUAACGUAAUUUUUUGUAUGCUUGCUCUGAAGGAUUUCUUUUUUUUUUUUGUUUAAAGUUUUAGUAAACCUGGGCGUUUAUUUGGCUUAUUUUAAGGUUGACUCUGUGUUUUAUUAUUAUUAUUAUUAUUAUUAUUAUUAUUAUUAUUAUUAUUAUUAUUAUUAUUAUUAUUAUUAUUAUUAUUAUUAUCAUUGGACUCAUGCUCCUUGUUCUUUUGACACCAUUAUUUCAUUUAUGGGCAUCAUAGGAGAUGUGGCUUAUAAAGCCCAAUAUGAGGAGCCAUCAUGUUUUCUUUAAUUAUUUUUUUUUCAGAAAAAAAAAAGAUAGUUGUUAGCCUUUGGUUUUGCUAGUAUACUUAGGGAAAGUAGGGGUCGACUGAAUGUUAGUAUACUUUGGUUUUGCUUCCUCCUUCAGAAAUCAUAUAGUUGGCAACCUAGUUGUUGCAACUCAGCAGAUAGGAUGAUAGGUUAACGAUUUAAAUUGGUAAUAGAUUUAAUCCUAACUUAUGUGCGUUUCAACCAAACAAAAAAUACUGCAUUGCAACUAUACAUGAGUCACGAAUGAUUCUUUUACUUUCUUCUAAGGAACUUUUUAAUUAAGGUGCAAAUUCAUUCCUAAAGGAACUCUUUUAACUAUUUAUUGCACAUGAGGUGUCACAGUUGCCCUAUGCUGUUCAUAAGACCAUAUUAUCUUAGCUUGGAAGUGUUUUGGAUAAGUUUUGAACUGCAAGUAUAUGCCGAUGUUCUUUUUUUUUUCUGAAUGGAUUAAUUCUUAGUUUUUGUUUUUUUGGUUCAUGCAGUUACAUUUUAUCGCAUGACAUGUUAGAUAAUAUUUGCUAUCUCGGGUUUUUGUAAGGGUCGUCCCUCUAUGCUAUGUCUUAUUUCUUAUUUUUGGUUCAUCCAUGUUUUAUUUCUGUGCGUAUUUUGUCAAAAAUCGAGAGUUGUGGCGACACAAAAGCUUCCAGAAUAUGACAUGCAGGGCCAGGGGAGUGACACAGUCGGUCGCAAAUGACAUGUUUGUUCUCUCACUUUUCCUUCUCGUCUUAUAAAGUACUAACAUGAAUAAGGGCGUCCCAUUAGUUUUCUGCUGCAAAGUGGAUGACAGGGAUUUGCAAGUGAACGGUCGGAGUUGGCUGCUGCGGCAUACGUUUGCUAUGAAGUGUGUACACUUUUUAUGUGAUAAAAAAAUCAAUCCUACAAAAUUUUAGCAAACUUU